AGAAAGUUAGUUUAGACAAAAACGUAGAGUUGUCAACUCUAUGAGGCAUAGAAAGUGCACUUUCAG
RNAcentral lists this transfer RNA (66 nucleotides) under Hyriopsis bialata. Its description in RNAcentral is "tRNA-Asp". The record is from RNAcentral. Lineage: Eukaryota; Metazoa; Mollusca; Bivalvia; Unionida; Unionidae.